Vigna unguiculata (cowpea) is the source of this 1061-nucleotide long non-coding RNA. RefSeq lists it as uncharacterized. The record is from RefSeq and is a predicted model, not a curated record. NCBI's taxonomy places the organism in Eukaryota, Viridiplantae, Streptophyta, Magnoliopsida, Fabales, Fabaceae.
AUUGUUACUCUAAAUGUGUUGAUUAUUAUUUUUAUUAACAGUAGAGAGAGUGCAGAGUGGUAAAUUACUCUCUUACAGUUGAAUUUACCAAGAACAACACAUCAAAGUCUUGUGGUCUGUUUGGUCCCAAACGCAGCAGCGAAUGAGUUGAAGCAGCAGUGGCUGAAGAAGCCUGAAGAAGAAGACGAAGAAAACAAUGAAAAGAUACAUCAUGAGGUCGAAUCUGUUUCCGCUUCUCUUUGCAUUUGCCUUUCUGUUUUCGCCUGUGUUCUCUGCUUCGGAUCUGAUCCUCGCCAAGGUUGACCGUCGUCCGAGAGAUUUUUGACAAGUGGCAAGCUCAAAAAUGGUGGGGUGAGAAUUAUGACAGAAUCAUGGAGCUUUACAAUGUCUAGAGAUUCAAUCGACAAGCUCUUAACAUCCUUCCAAAUCUGAGGAUGAGGUAAUCUAAUACUUCUACACUAGUACGAUGUUAAGUUGUUAACAACAGUUCAUUGCACGUUUGACAUGCAGGAUCAUAUGGGGAGGUGUGUCGUGGUGCAUGGCGUGUAACACUGCUAUAAUAUUAUAUAGCAUCUCUGCUAUAUAAAGCAUCAUAAUCAAUCCAUGUUGGCAAUUUAAACCAAUCACAAGUGAUGUUAAUGCAAAGUUCCUUUUGAAAUUAAGGAUCAUAGCUUGAGUUUGGAGAUGCAGGUGGAAGUGGUCUGAAAAGAAGAUAUGUUCAAAGAGAUGGUCAAAAUAAUGAAAAGAUUGAGGCAUCCAAAUGUUGUUCUCUUCAUGGGAGCAGUAACUCGAUCUCCAAAUCUUUCAAUUGUUACCGAAUUUCUUUCCAGCAAACCAGUAUGCAAAUGAGCCUGAGUCUUCUAUGGGUACAAGAGGAUCAUCUGGUGGUAGCAACAUUUAGGAUGUUGAUGAUGUUUUUUAGGAUGAAACUAUUUUAGUGUAUUAUGAACUUUGAGUAAGUAUGGAUUAAGUUGUAAUUGUUUCAAUUUAAAUUGUUUUUAUGUUAAUAUGUUGAUUUUGAGAAUCAAAAGUUCUAAUGAUAUAUAUUUGAGCACUUUGAU